UCUCCGUUGGUGAACCAGCGGAGGGAUCAUUACAGGACUCGCAAGACUCCUUCACCCUGUGAACCUCACUACAAGCACGUUGCUUCGGCGGGUGUCCCGGCGGGGGUUUUCCCUCGCCGGGGCGCACAGCCCGCCGGCAGCCUACUAUACUCUGUCUCUUUACGUUGGCAUCUCGAGAAAAAACAAACAAGUUAAAACUUACAACAACGGAUCUCUUGGUUCUG
This 224-nucleotide unclassified non-coding RNA is filed under the name plant metagenome. RNAcentral's name for it is "partial contains small subunit ribosomal RNA, internal transcribed spacer 1, and 5.8S ribosomal RNA". The record is from RNAcentral.